Molecule: signal recognition particle RNA, 298 nt
Filed under: Carlito syrichta (Philippine tarsier)
Lineage: Eukaryota; Metazoa; Chordata; Mammalia; Primates; Tarsiidae
Description: Metazoan signal recognition particle RNA (ENSTSYG00000028110.1)
Rfam family: Metazoan signal recognition particle RNA
About the family: The signal recognition particle (SRP) is a universally conserved ribonucleoprotein.
Source: RNAcentral
ACCAGGCACAGUGGCAUGCACUUGUAGUCCCAGCUACUCAGGAGGCUGAGGCAGGAGGAUUGCUUGAGUCCAGGAGUUCUGGGCUAUAGUGUGCCAUGCUGAUCAGGUGUCUGCGCCAAGUUCAGAAUCAAUAAGGUGACCUCAUGGGAACAGGGGACCACCAGAUUCCUGAGGAGGGGUAAACUGGCCUGGAUUGGAAACAAAACAGGUCAAAACUCCCAUGCUGAUCAGUAGUGGGAUCAUGCCUGUGGCUAGUCACUGCACUCCAGCCUGAGCAACAUAGAGAGACCCUGUCUCU